Molecule: ribosomal RNA, 445 nt
Filed under: uncultured Anaerolineaceae bacterium
Lineage: Bacteria; Bacillati; Chloroflexota; Anaerolineae; Anaerolineales; Anaerolineaceae
Description: bacterial SSU rRNA
Rfam family: Bacterial small subunit ribosomal RNA
Source: RNAcentral
ACAAGCAGCGGAGCGUGUGGUUUAAUUCGUUGCUACACGAAGAACCUUACCUGGGUUUGACAUAUAGGUUGUAGGGAACUGAAAAGGGACCGACCCUUCGGGGAGCCUAUACAGGGUGUUGCAUGGCUGUCGUCAGCUCGUGUCGUGAGAUGUUCGGUUAAGUCCGCUAACGAGCGCAACCCUCGUCGUAUGUUAUAUGUGUCAUACGAGACUGCCGGUAAAAAGCCGGAGGAAGGUGAGGAUGAUGUCAAGUCAGCAUGACCUUUAUAUCCAGGGCUACACACACGCUACAAUGGUCUGUACAAUGGGUAGCCAAGCCGCGAGGCGGAGCCAAUCCUGAAAGCAGGCCUCAGUUCAGAUUGCAGUCUGCAACUCGACUGCAUGAAGCCGGAGUUGCUAGUAACCGCAGGUCAGCAAUACUGCGGUGAAUACGUUCCCGGGUCUU